AUACGGAGGAUGCGAGCGUUAUCCGGAUUUAUUGGGUUUAAAGGGUGCGUAGGCGGACGAUUAAGUCAGCUGUGAAAUGCCCGCGCUUAACGCGGGAAGUGCGGUUGAUACUGGUUGUCUGGAGUGCCGUUGCCGUGGGGGGAAUGUGUCGUGUAGCGGUGAAAUGCAUAGAUAUUACACAGAACGCCGAUUGUGAAGACACCUCACGAAGCGGUAACUGACGCUGAGGCACGAAAGCGUGGGGAUCGAACAGGAUUAGAUACCCUGGUAGUCCACGCAGUAAACGAUGAUGACUAACCGUCGGUCAAGACUGAUCGGUGGCCAAGCGAAAGCGAUAAGUCAUCCACCUGGGGAGUACGACCGCAAGGUUGAAACUCAAAGGAAUUGACGGGG
Molecule: ribosomal RNA, 393 nt
Filed under: uncultured bacterium
Lineage: Bacteria
Description: partial 16S ribosomal RNA
Rfam family: Bacterial small subunit ribosomal RNA
Source: RNAcentral